CAACACAGGAAAGAUAUCGAGCUUCUUGAAAAGGUCCAGAGAAGGGCCAUGAAGUUAAUCUAAGGGCUGGAGCAUCACUCAUGCAAAGAUAGGCUGAAGGAGCUGGGCUUCUUCAGUCUGGAGAAGAGAAAGCUGUGGGUGUGUGAGAGUCACUGCGUUCCUGGCUUACUGUGGCUCACGGAUGCGAGGCUUGAAGGCUGUAGGUGUAGGUAUAAAAUAAUCUCAGAAAUGCAGAGCACGGAAUGAAUCCCAGUGAACUGCCCUACUGACGCAGGUUGAUCGCAUUCAGAGCGGGGCCGCUGAGGGUCCCCACCGACCACGAGGGGGAGCCCGCUCCCCGCGGAGCGCUGCCUCCGGCCCCGCGUCCUCCGCCGCUCCCCAGGGCCCUCCCGCCUUGGCCACCUCGUUAAUAACAGACCAGCAGCUGAGAGCUUGAGUGAAAAUACUUAUGCAGAAGUACCCCAAGUCUAGAAAGUAACUGGAUUCAAGCAUGG
Long non-coding RNA from Numida meleagris (helmeted guineafowl), 494 nucleotides. RefSeq lists it as uncharacterized. The transcript is spliced from 3 exons. The record is from RefSeq and is a predicted model, not a curated record. Lineage: Eukaryota; Metazoa; Chordata; Aves; Galliformes; Numididae.